Molecule: RNA transcript, 1251 nt
Organism: Rhincodon typus (whale shark)
Lineage: Eukaryota; Metazoa; Chordata; Chondrichthyes; Orectolobiformes; Rhincodontidae
Gene name: phosphoethanolamine/phosphocholine phosphatase-like
Exons: 2
Source: RefSeq, a predicted model, not a curated record
GCGGCUCUGUGUUAAGUGACGAGUCAAACGGGAGGAUUGUCAGUAAUAAGCCAGCACUUCCCGAUUGAUUGUUCCUGAGAUCAAAGGAAGCCCGCACGCCUUAGCUCCACCUUCCUUGACCCUCGUCGCUUGUCUCUAAGUCGCCGGGAUCCGAAACGUCAGCCUCUCUGCUCCUAUGAUGCUGCUUGGCCUGCUGUGUUCAUCCAGCCCUGCACCUUGUUGUCUCUACUGGUUAUGUUCGUGCGAGCGUCACAAAGGAAACCCCUCCUCUUGAAACUGGCUAUCUCAGUUUGCAAGAAACUCCGCUUCCUGGAAACAUCACUGUCACAUUUUAACAGGCGCUCUGUACAAGAGGAUUGGUCGGAGGAACCUUCCAUUGCCAGUAUAUGUGUGUGUGUGUGUGUGUCUGUUCUUUCUCUCUCCUUCUCCCUCUUUCGGUCGCCGCCGUCUCACACAGACGCCCGUUUUGAAUACGGAAAUGACAAGCUUGAAGAGAACUGCAAUGUCAACAGCGAAUUUUGAAGGGCAGACUGCGCAGAUGUUCCCCGCGCGGCAAAAAGCCAGUUCCUGGUUUUCAAAUAUUCUUCAAAAAAAGCCUUCCCUCGAAUCCGCGUUGCAAGGGUGUUCCAACGCUAGAAUUAGGCUGUUGAUUCGAUGCUGAGUGGAGUCAGUCACAGAAUCCCUACAGUAUCGAAACAGACUAUUCGGCCUAUAUAGUCCACACCAACCCUUCGAAGGGCAUUCCACCCAGACCCACCUCCCCUAAAAUCCUGGCUAAUCCACCUAACCUGUACAUCUCUGGACUGCGAGAGGAAACCCGAGCACCCAGACGAAACCCACGGGAGAAUGUGCAAACUCCACACAGACAGUCGCUCGAGGGUAGUAUCGAACCCAGGUCCUUGGAGCUGUGAGACAGCAGUUCUAACCACUGAACCACCGUGCAAUCUUUGCGUUGUAGCUGUCAAUCAUUCUCCAAUCCCAGCACCCUUUCACACUAAACCCCCACCUUACUCAAGACAGCUGUAGGAUAAUUCUUCAAAAAUCCAUGUCACAUCAUUCAGGAUACAACACUAUUGAGAUGUGCAUCUGAGUAGGCGCUGCACAAAGGCUGGCCAGCGGGUGUCACUAAAUGAAGUGAUGGAAAAUUUAGCAACACUGGUGAUUCUUUCUACAGAUGUUAAAUAGCCAGUGUUCUGUAUUCCUUUUAUUACUGAUGUGCAAUCGAAUUAAAACAAAUGAAUUUAACUCAAU